CUAAGUUUGAUGGCGACCGGCGCACGGGUGAGUAACACGUAUCCAACCUGCCGAUGACUCGGGGAUAGCCUUUCGAAAGGAAGAUUAAUACCCGAUGGCAUAGUUCUUCCGCAUGGUGGAACUAUUAAAGAAUUUCGGUCAUCGAUGGGGAUGCGUUCCAUUAGGUUGUUGGCGGGGUAACGGCCCACCAAGCCUUCGAUGGAUAGGGGUUCUGAGAGGAAGGUCCCCCACAUUGGAACUGAGACACGGUCCAAACUCCUACGGGAGGCAGCAUG
RNAcentral lists this ribosomal RNA (275 nucleotides) under uncultured bacterium. RNAcentral describes it as "partial 16S ribosomal RNA". It matches the Rfam family "Bacterial small subunit ribosomal RNA", at positions 79 to 353 of the family's 1533-position model. The record is from RNAcentral.